This is a long non-coding RNA of Perca fluviatilis (European perch), 766 nucleotides long. RefSeq lists it as uncharacterized. The record is from RefSeq and is a predicted model, not a curated record. The transcript is spliced from 3 exons. NCBI's taxonomy places the organism in Eukaryota, Metazoa, Chordata, Actinopteri, Perciformes, Percidae.
CCUGGGCUUCUGUUACACUUCUCAUCUAUAAUAAGGACUCCAGUCUCUCCAGAGGAUGGAUGCCACCCUCCUUCAGCAUUUCAAAACUCACACAAGGUUGCCAGGCUGGUUUCUCCCCCCCCCAUGCCCCCAGUACCUGAACACACCGGGGUCCUGUUGUGCACAGAGGAGCCACUCACUGGCUUGCCGUCACUGGUGACACACCAGCAGUAACCUGUCAAAGUAUGGCACUGGACCUGCAGAGGCAAAAAGAUAAAUAGUGUGGCCCAUUGAGAGCGAGGUAAAAAGAUGAGGAGGAGACACCGAAGAGGGUGAGCGAGGGAAGGCGGCUGUUGAGUGCAGGUGUCCAGCUUCAGUUCAGCAACCCCUCAAUCCACAGAAACUGGGCUCUUUAAGAGCUGAAAAGGGCCAUCCGGUCACCCUUUGCAGGAAGGAUGACCCCCACCCCCAAUCCUUUUCCCUCAGUCUUUGUCCCUAUAGAUAUUUUUUAAUUGUUGGCUAUGACAGUUCAGCGGCUUUUUGAGUGGCUCAGUGAAGAACCUUGUAAUUAGAGCUAUUGAGCUGCUGGAAUUGGCACAAUUAGGGUCAGUUAUUAAUGAGUUCUGUGUUCACCAGGCGCUGUCACUAAAGGGCUAUUUUCUCAGGAAGCAUGGAGAGAAUUCUUUGAAGAGUGUCGGGCCAAAUGCGAGAGAAGAAAGGGGAAGGGAGAAAAAUUUAGGCUUAACCGAACUGGAGGCAAUGAAUUGUGUGGAUUCUUCUUUAUCGU